Non-coding RNA from Oncorhynchus mykiss (rainbow trout), 648 nucleotides. The record is from RefSeq and is a predicted model, not a curated record. NCBI's taxonomy places the organism in Eukaryota, Metazoa, Chordata, Actinopteri, Salmoniformes, Salmonidae.
GAUGCCUGAACUCUGCACUAUGUUUAAGCCAAUAUUCUGGAAGUAGUUCUGGAAGUCAAGCAGUAGAAUAUGUCAGGUUCUGGAACUCAGUUCUGGUGUUCUGUCCCUUGUCAAUCUUGUGUAUUUCCCUCAGUGAUUCAAACAGCAAAUGGACACAAAAUUAGACACAAAUACAGCAAGUUUUUAUGGUAAUAAUUUGUGUUUCAGUGUCUUGUCAGUGGUGGAAGAGAUACUCUGGAGCUGUCGCAGGAUGUCUGGGGCUGCUGUGUGUUCUCCUACUGGCUGGGAUCAUAGGCCUGUUUCUCUACCAGAGAAACCAAUUGACAUGUUACAACACCCCGACCAAAGAGAGAGACCAGGUACAGACCAGCGGCAACAACCUGACCGAAGAUAGAGACCAGCUACAGACCAGUUACAACACCCUGACCAAAGAAAGAGACCAGCUACAGAAAGAGAUAGAACGUUUGAAAAAUCCUUUAGUUGAGCAAGUGUGUCCGCGAGGAUGGAAGAAGCUUGGUAGCAGUUGUUACUACGUCUCUACUGAGAAAAAAUCCUGGGAGGAGAGCAGACAGGACUGCAGAAAUAGAGGAGCACACCUGGUUGUCAUCAAGAACCAAGAACAACAGGUGUGUGUGGUACAGAGAAAUA